UUAAAACCAACUUAUUAAAUACGACACAAAAUGUUUCAAAAAAAAAAAAUCAUAAACUGGAUUUUUAGAUGCCAUUUUGAAGACUAUGUUAAUGUGUAGCAUGGGAUCUCUACCAAAGUGAGCUUUUGUUUAUGCAAGUGAUCGCUCAUUUCAGCUUACAUAGGCUCACCAAUAGCAGUUUGUUUAUAUUAAUUAGCGGCAACAAUAAAUGGUUUAGAAUCUGCGUUCCCCUAAUUUAUUAUGGUAAAUGUCACAUAAAGGACACAAAUACUUGGCUAAUCUAGCUUGAGCUCAACUUGAUUAGUUGAAUUUGUAUAUUUUAUGGGUCAAGCUCAAGCAGCUUGAGUUGAUUACUCGCUUAAUUUAGUGCUUCAGUUAGAAUCUAUUGGCCUAGCAUGCUCAAGUUGGACCUAAUAUGGAAUUUAAGAAAGCUUGGGUUAAUUGGUUCAAGUAGGUGAUUUAUCUGGUUGGAUUUUCAGUUUGAGCUAUAAUUCUGCCAUCAAAUUUUGUAAUUAUUUUGUAUCUUUGGAGAGAUUGAAAUUCAGAAA
Molecule: unclassified non-coding RNA, 548 nt
Filed under: Hevea brasiliensis (rubber tree)
Lineage: Eukaryota; Viridiplantae; Streptophyta; Magnoliopsida; Malpighiales; Euphorbiaceae
Source: RNAcentral